GCCUAGUUAGCUUGGCCGGUAGAGCGCCAGCCUUGUAAGGGCUAGGUUGCGGGUUCGAUUCCUGCCCAGGGCG
Molecule: transfer RNA, 73 nt
Filed under: Diaphorina citri (Asian citrus psyllid)
Lineage: Eukaryota; Metazoa; Arthropoda; Insecta; Hemiptera; Psyllidae
Rfam family: tRNA
About the family: Transfer RNA (tRNA) molecules are approximately 80 nucleotides in length. Their secondary structure includes four short double-helical elements and three loops (D, anti-codon, and T loops). Further hydrogen bonds mediate the characteristic L-shaped molecular structure. tRNAs have two regions of fundamental functional importance: the anti-codon, which is responsible for specific mRNA codon recognition, and the 3' end, to which the tRNAs corresponding amino acid is attached (by aminoacyl-tRNA synthetases). tRNAs cope with the degeneracy of the genetic code in two manners: having more than one tRNA (with a specific anti-codon) for a particular amino acid; and 'wobble' base-pairing, i.e. permitting non-standard base-pairing at the 3rd anti-codon position.
Source: Rfam by way of RNAcentral